GAUGAACGCUAGCGGCGGGCCUAAUACAUGCAAGUUGAACGAGAUUGUUGGUAGCAAUACUGACAUGAAAGUGGCGCACGGGUGCGUAACACGUAUGUAACCUACCUUUAACUGGGGCAUAGCUUCGAGAAAUCGAAAUUAAUACCCCAUAACAUUUAGAAAAGGCAUCUUUUCUUUAUCAAAGUUCCGGCGGUUAAAGAUGGACAUGCGGUGCAUUAGCUUGUUGGUGAGGUAACGGCUCACCAAGGCUACGAUGCAUAGGGGGUCUGAGAGGAUGAUCCCCCACACUGGUACUGAGACACGGACCAGACUCCUACGGGAGCAGCAGUAGGGAAUAUUGGGCAAUGGACAAAGUCUGACCCAGCCACGCCGCGUGAAGGAUGACUGCCCUAUGGGUUGUAAACUUCUUUUGUAUGGGAAGAAAUUCCGAACGUGUUCGGAGCUGACGGUACCAUAAGAAUAAGCAUCGGCUAACUCCGUGCCAGCAG
This 488-nucleotide ribosomal RNA is filed under the name uncultured bacterium. Its description in RNAcentral is "bacterial SSU rRNA". It matches the Rfam family "Bacterial small subunit ribosomal RNA", at positions 28 to 514 of the family's 1533-position model. The record is from RNAcentral.